RNAcentral lists this ribosomal RNA (1454 nucleotides) under Massilia sp. TMT4-26-3. RNAcentral describes it as "16S ribosomal RNA". It matches the Rfam family "Bacterial small subunit ribosomal RNA". The record is from RNAcentral. Lineage: Bacteria; Pseudomonadati; Pseudomonadota; Betaproteobacteria; Burkholderiales; Oxalobacteraceae.
GAGAGUUUGCUCCUGGCUCAGAUUGAACGCUGGCGGCAUGCCUUACACAUGCAAGUCGAACGGCAGCGCGGGGCAACCUGGCGGCGAGUGGCGAACGGGUGAGUAAUAUAUCGGAACGUACCCUGGAGUGGGGGAUAACGUAGCGAAAGUUACGCUAAUACCGCAUACGAUCUAAGGAUGAAAGUGGGGGAUUCGCAAGAACCUCAUGCUCCUGGAGCGGCCGAUAUCUGAUUAGCUAGUUGGUGGGGUAAAGGCCUACCAAGGCAUCGAUCAGUAGCUGGUCUGAGAGGACGACCAGCCACACUGGAACUGAGACACGGUCCAGACUCCUACGGGAGGCAGCAGUGGGGAAUUUUGGACAAUGGGCGAAAGCCUGAUCCAGCAAUGCCGCGUGAGUGAAGAAGGCCUUCGGGUUGUAAAGCUCUUUUGUCAGGGAAGAAACGGUGGGGGCUAAUAUCCCUUGCUAAUGACGGUACCUGAAGAAUAAGCACCGGCUAACUACGUGCCAGCAGCCGCGGUAAUACGUAGGGUGCAAGCGUUAAUCGGAAUUACUGGGCGUAAAGCGUGCGCAGGCGGUUUUGUAAGUCUGUCGUGAAAUCCCCGGGCUCAACCUGGGAAUUGCGAUGGAGACUGCAAGGCUAGAAUUCUGGCAGAGGGGGGUAGAAUUCCACGUGUAGCAGUGAAAUGCGUAGAGAUGUGGAGGAACACCGAUGGCGAAGGCAGCCCCCUGGGUCAAGAUUGACGCUCAUGCACGAAAGCGUGGGGAGCAAACAGGAUUAGAUACCCUGGUAGUCCACGCCCUAAACGAUGUCUACUAGUUGUCGGGUUUUAAUUAACUUGGUAACGCAGCUAACGCGUGAAGUAGACCGCCUGGGGAGUACGGUCGCAAGAUUAAAACUCAAAGGAAUUGACGGGGACCCGCACAAGCGGUGGAUGAUGUGGAUUAAUUCGAUGCAACGCGAAAAACCUUACCUACCCUUGACAUGUACGGAAGCCACGAGAGAUCGAGGUGUGCUCGAAAGAGAACCGUAACACAGGUGCUGCAUGGCUGUCGUCAGCUCGUGUCGUGAGAUGUUGGGUUAAGUCCCGCAACGAGCGCAACCCUUGUCAUUAGUUGCUACGAAAGAGCACUCUAAUGAGACUGCCGGUGACAAACCGGAGGAAGGUGGGGAUGACGUCAAGUCCUCAUGGCCCUUAUGGGUAGGGCUUCACACGUCAUACAAUGGUACAUACAGAGGGCCGCCAACCCGCGAGGGGGAGCUAAUCCCAGAAAGUGUAUCGUAGUCCGGAUUGUAGUCUGCAACUCGACUACAUGAAGUUGGAAUCGCUAGUAAUCGCGGAUCAGCAUGUCGCGGUGAAUACGUUCCCGGGUCUUGUACACACCGCCCGUCACACCAUGGGAGCGGGUUUUACCAGAAGUAGGUAGCUUAACCGCAAGGGGGGCGCUUACCACG